Long non-coding RNA from Teleopsis dalmanni, 1683 nucleotides. RefSeq lists it as uncharacterized. The transcript is spliced from 5 exons. The record is from RefSeq and is a predicted model, not a curated record. NCBI's taxonomy places the organism in Eukaryota, Metazoa, Arthropoda, Insecta, Diptera, Diopsidae.
AGACUUUGUUUGCCAUCAGGUUAUACUGGACUUAUACGACAGUUUUGUUUGUUAUUUUAGCCGAAUUUUCAUUUUGCAUAGAAAGCAACAACAAUUGACAGCUAAAAUAACAAACAUGACAGCUAAAAGUACAAACUCUCGUGUGAUUACUCGAAUUUUUUAAAUAGUUCGUAAAAUCGGAUAUAAGCAGCACUAAAAUGAGCAGCACUAGUGUUUAAUAAAAUCAUAACAUUUGGAGCAGAUUUGCAAUAACAUAGUUUUAUUUAUUUUCUUUGUUUAUUGUUCACUUUUGUCUUUUUUGGAAAAAUAGUUUUUCAUAGUUUUCUUAAAAGAAAGCACUCAAGAAUCGAUAUUUGAACACACCCACUCGUUUAACUCUAAAGCAACGGAGCACUCGAAAAUACGUCCUUACUUUCCAAUGAAUAUAUUGUUCAGUACUGUGUUAAUAAGGAUUCAUAAUACCUGUAUAGACAAUAGACAAUAUAAGGGAAAAGAUACUGAAUUUCCAUUACUCAAUUGUGAUGAAAUUUAUCCGAGUAAAAAAUAAACUCCUGAUAAGCAUCGAUCGCCAGUCACAAAAGAGAUACACCAUCAAGUUACCUAUGUUGCACAUCUGCGAUAUCUGUGAAUUAGAUUUGGGUAUAUGGAGUAAAAGUGCAGGAUGGCCAUGGAUCAAGUAUGGCAUUAGAACAAUAAUGGAGAUUCGAGAUGAUCCUGAGAGAGUUAGAGCGGUACGAAAGUUUUGGCAUUAUGUAAAACUUAAACAGGAAAUGCAAUUUCCAGAUUGCUGUGCAUUUGUUUGCGCUCAUGACGAUAAGAAGGUUAGAGCGAUUUGGGGUUACCCCGCUACUGUUACUUUUGGGGAAGCAGUAUUUGCGAAACCUUUGAUUGAUGCUUAUUCACAAUUGCCCACGAACACUUCACCAUUUGCUUACGGUAUGGAAAGCGUAACUGAUGGACCGAUGAAAAUUAUCACAGUUUAAAAUUUUCAAAAUUUGAUAAAACUGUUCCUGCCUGGCUUAUUGAGAUUGCAUUUGAUAUAUUACAAUUAAAUAUUGAUUUUGUUCAUUAUAGAGGAAAUGGAGUAGCUGAUGCACGCAAAAUGAUACACAUGUUUGCCACAAUAAAAGACUACUUCAUCAAUACACCCAUACGAACAGCAAAGGGGUUAAGGUUUAAAAAAUCAAGUGGUAUACCCAGUGGUAGCUAUUUUAGUCAACUAAUCAGUUCCAUUGUAAAUUGUCUUGCUUUAACAUGAAUCUUUUCUAACAACAAGAGUCGCUCUGGAUCUUAGUGAAGUAUCUAAAAUAUUAUUGAAUCUUGGGUUAAUUUUGAAUGAAAAGAAAUCAAUGUCAUCUACUAAUAUCGACGAAUUAAAUUUUCUUGGUUAUGAAAUUAAAAAUGGAGUUGUCAAGAACAAUCAAGAUGAUCUUGUAGCAUCAUUAAAUACUCCGGAGCACCCUGAUCAAAGUUGGAGUGAAACUGCAUCGCGGACAUAAAGCAUAUAUGUUGCUAACUUCGAGAUAAAUACUUGAUUAUGUUCUUCACUACAGGAUAAGAUCAAAAUACAAACGUAAUGGAUGAAGUUAAUACGAUAUUUUCUCUAUUGAUGUAAGCAAAAUGCAAGCAGCAUGUAUAGGACACUAAACUGUAAUUUGUUAAAGUUUUCUAUUGAUUAUGAAA